RNAcentral lists this ribosomal RNA (993 nucleotides) under uncultured bacterium. Its description in RNAcentral is "bacterial SSU rRNA". It matches the Rfam family "Bacterial small subunit ribosomal RNA", at positions 1 to 1014 of the family's 1533-position model. The record is from RNAcentral.
GCCCUUGGCCGCUGAGAGUUUGAUCCUGGCUCAGAACGAACGUUGGCGGCGUGGAUUAGGCAUGCAAGUCGAGGGAAUCCCAGGGCAACCUGGGGGAACCGGCGUAAGGGGCAGUAAGGCAUGGGUAACCUACCCCGAGGUCCGGGAUAGCCAUCAGAAAUGGUGGGUAAUACCGGAUGAUCUCGUGAGAGCAAAGGUCCGCCGCCUCGGGAGGGGCCCAUGUGGUAUUAGCUAGUUGGUAGGGUAAUGGCCUACCAAGGCGAAGAUGCCUAGCUGGUGUGAGAGCACGACCAGCGCCACUGGCACUGAGACACUGGCCAGACACCUACGGGUGGCUGCAGUCGAGAAUCUUCGGCAAUGGGCGCAAGCCUGACCGAGCGACGCCGCGUGCGCGAUGAAGACCUUCGGGUUGUAAAGCGCUGUCGAGGGGAGGAAAAGCCCCGCAAGGGUUUGAUCGGCCCCUGGAGGAAGCACGGGCUAAGUUCGUGCCAGCAGCCGCGGUAAGACGAACCGUGCGAACGUUGUUCGGAAUCACUGGGCUUAAAGGGUGCGUAGGCGGGUUGUCCAGUCUGGGGUGAAAUCCCACGGCUCAACCGUGGAAUUGCCUCAGAUACUGACGACCUCGAGGGAGGUAGGGGCGAGCGGAACUGUGGGUGGAGCGGUGAAAUGCGUUGAUAUCCACAGGAACUCCGGUGGCGAAGGCGGCUCGCUGGACCUCUUCUGACGCUGAGGCACGAAAGCUAGGGGAGCAAACGGGAUUAGAUACCCCGGUAGUCCUAGCCCUAAACGAUGAGGACUAGGUAGUAGGCUAGACAUGGGCUUACUGCCGAAGCAAAAGUGCUAAGUCCUCCGCCUGGGGAGUAUGGCCGCAAGGCUGAAACUCAAGGAAUUGACNGGGGCUCACACAAGCGGUGGAGCAUGUGGCUUAAUUCGAGGCUACNCGAGANCUUAUCCUGGGCUUGACAUGUGCGAAAGCGCCGGGAAGUAGGACCC